This 435-nucleotide ribosomal RNA is filed under the name uncultured bacterium. RNAcentral's name for it is "partial 16S ribosomal RNA". It matches the Rfam family "Bacterial small subunit ribosomal RNA", at positions 29 to 507 of the family's 1533-position model. The record is from RNAcentral.
AGCGAACGCUGGCGGCAGGCUUAACACAUGCAAGUCGAGCGGACACUUUCGGGUGUCAGCGGCGGACGGGUGAGUAACGCGUGGGAACGUGCCCUCUGGUUCGGAAUAACUCAGGGAAACUUGAGCUAAUACCGGAUACGCCCUUUUGGGGAAAGGCUUGCUGCCGGAGGAUCGGCCCGCGUCUGAUUAGCUAGUUGGUGAGGUAACGGCUCACCAAGGCGACGAUCAGUAGCUGGUCUGAGAGGAUGAUCAGCCACACUGGGACUGAGGCACGGCCCAGACUCCUACGGGAGGCAGCAGUGGGGAAUAUUGGACAAUGGGCGCAAGCCUGAUCCAGCCAUGCCGCGUGAGUGAUGAAGGCCUUAGGGUUGUAAAGCUCUUUUAUCCGGGACGAUAAUGACGGUACCGGAGGAAUAAGCCCCGGCUAACUUCGUG